UGGGGAAUAUUGGACAAUGGGCGCAAGCCUGAUCCAGCCAUGCCGCGUGAGUGAUGAAGGCCCUAGGGUUGUAAAGCUCUUUCAACGGUGAAGAUAAUGACGGUAACCGUAGAAGAAGCCCCGGUUAACUUCGUGCCAGCAGCCGCGGUAAUACGAAGGGGGCUAGCGUUGUUCGGAAUUACUGGGCGUAAAGCGCACGUAGGCGGAUCGGUCAGUUAGGGGUGAAAUCCCAGGGCUCAACCCUGGAACUGCCUUUAAUACUGCCGAUCUGGAGUCCGGAAGAGGUGAGUGGAAUUCCGAGUGUAGAGGUGAAAUUCGUAGAUAUUCGGAGGAACACCAGUGGCGAAGGCGGCUCACUGGUCCGGUACUGACGCUGAGGUGCGAAAGCGUGGGGAGCAAACA
Molecule: ribosomal RNA, 402 nt
Filed under: uncultured bacterium
Lineage: Bacteria
Description: bacterial SSU rRNA
Rfam family: Bacterial small subunit ribosomal RNA
Source: RNAcentral